CACGGACCGCACGAACGUUAUUCGGUAUCACUGGGCUUAAAGGGUGCGUAGGCGGCCUAGCAAGUCGGGUGUGAAAGCCCCGGGCUCAACCUGGGAAUUGCAUUCGAUACUGGAUAGCUAGAGUUCGGCAGAGGGAAGCGGAAUUUCCGGUGUAGCGGUGAAAUGCGUAGAUAUCGGAAGGAACAUCAGUGGCGAAAGCGGCUUCCUGGACCAGAACUGACGAUCAGGCUCGAAAGCGUGGGGAGCAAACAGG
RNAcentral lists this ribosomal RNA (253 nucleotides) under uncultured bacterium. Its description in RNAcentral is "partial 16S ribosomal RNA". It matches the Rfam family "Bacterial small subunit ribosomal RNA", at positions 524 to 776 of the family's 1533-position model. The record is from RNAcentral.